RNAcentral lists this long non-coding RNA (768 nucleotides) under Phascolarctos cinereus (koala). RNAcentral describes it as "lncRNA (ENSPCIG00000032162.1)". Lineage: Eukaryota; Metazoa; Chordata; Mammalia; Diprotodontia; Phascolarctidae. The record is from RNAcentral.
UAGAUCAUCUCAAAGGUUCUUUCCAAUUCCUAUGACCACUGGAAGGUGAAAAGGUAGUAUAUCUCCUAAUGCAGGACGGAUCACUUGGAUAAUGGGGCAAGCAAAGGUCCUUUGUAAGAUCUUUUGUCUCGUUGGCUUUUUCUUUCUCCAGGAGGUGUCUGGAGAAGUGAUGGCAAAAAAGACUGACUCUUGAAGCCUGAUACCCCAACAUCUCCAUCUGCCAGUGCAGCUGAUCUGACCUGAUGGCUUUUUAUUUCUUACUGAGAAUAGCUAAGGCCCUCUGGCUCUUGACUGUUUUGAAUGCCAUGGAAAAUUCAGUGACAAGAAAGACGAAGAACUCCUCUUCAGCAUGACCACAGUAGGAGAGUCUCACCUUCAGCAUGGGAUGCGUCUCAGAUUUAAGAAUCAAGAAGCCACGUUGGUGAUUCAGAACAUCCAAUUUUCCCAUUGUGGAGUCUACCGGUGGCAUCUUUCAGGCCAAGGGUCCUCAAAUAAGUUCACUACACUAACUGUUUCAGGAGGUUGGGGUUCACCGACAUUAAUUCCCUUCUUGAGUCAUACGGGCAAGCACACGUCUCCCUCUGCCACGUGCUUCUAGAGGACAUGUUCAUAUUCUGCUAUCACCCAGAUGUUGCUGCCAUCAGAGGAGAAUUGGUACUUGCUCAGUGGUUCUGCCAAAAGGCAGCUACUAUUGCCUACUGGGUGGGAAAGAGAAGAGAGGUCCCUUCACUCCAUCCCCCCCCGACUUUGGAAGAAAGGUAUAAGAGC